Non-coding RNA from Vicugna pacos (alpaca), 1839 nucleotides. Lineage: Eukaryota; Metazoa; Chordata; Mammalia; Artiodactyla; Camelidae. The record is from RefSeq and is a predicted model, not a curated record.
GAAACCAAGGAGAAACGUGAAGUCUAAAAUCUGCCCUGCAUCAGUCUCAACCCCCAAGUCAAGGAAUGUAAAAGCUGAAAUCCAGUAACACCUGACUGCGGUGGAGAGGGGCAUCCUGAUAGCUGAUUGGCCGUGGGAAGGAUCCUGAAGGAGGCCGCGGCCUUCCCCUGCACCAGGCCCGGCCAGGAUUCAGCAGCAGCUUUCCAGCUGCUACCGGCACCGGGGGAGGGAACUCCCGGCCCACGGACCCACCCCCGGAGCGAGCCUUGACGUCUCCCGGAAUUCACAGCUCCUCUCCCUCCCUGCUGGGCUCCCGCGAGCAGCACGCACCCAAGCUCUGAUGCUGCGGGCGGCCGCCGGGAGCAAACGCCCAGGGCCUGUGCACGACUCCCGGGGCUUCCCGCGGAAGCUGAUUGGCAAGAGGCGACGGCGGGGGGUAGGGGGUGUUCCCUGCAGCGGUGGUAACCCGCGCCCUGCCUCCUCGGCCUCCGCCGGGGUAAAAGAGGACUGUAAAAUUCCGGAAGAGAGAUUAGAGGCCGCGGAUGGGUGGGGCGGUGAAUCAGUACAUUCCUUCCUCCCUCUGCCUGCCUCCCCCUCCCCGGUUAUCACUUGGGGUGGGGGUGGGGGUUGAGCCCUCUCUUGGCCUUCUCCUGACCAGUCCUCUAGCAGGGUCCAGACAAGCUAAGCAGCGCUGGGAGGAAACUUACCGGGCUCAGCUGAACUUUGGAGAGCCUGGAUCACUUAUUUUGCAGCUCAUGACCCCAUCUGGUUUCGGGUUGGGAAAUUUUGGUCGUUGCUUCCAACUGAGUCCUUUCCAUAAGAGUAGUUCACAGGCUUGUCUGUGGGUCUGUCAGUAGCUCCCACUUAUUGGGCAAGUCCCUCCUCUGAGGCCGAGCCUGGGCUGCAUCAGGCUGUUUUUUCUUCCUAAAACUUUGCAGUGUAGGCAUACCUUAUUUCAUGUUAGCCAGUCAAGAAAUCAGAAAGCUCAGAGAGGUUAGGUAACUUGCCCAAGGUCACAAAGUGGUGAGCCAGGAAUAAUUCCAGCUCUAUUGGUUUGGUAAAUUUCCCACCACACCCUGCAGCUUCCUCUAGACAUUGAAAGGCAAGACUUAUUGGGGGGAGGGAAGUGUAACAACUAUGGACUACCUCCCAACCUGCUAAGAACUUUAAAUACGUUGUAUUUAAUGAUAUAAUUUUUUCACAAGCACUCCCUGAGAUAAAGGUGAUCACCAUGGCCAUAUUACAUAGGAGGCAACGUUAGAAGUUAGGAAUUUGAGGGGCAGAGCUGGGGUUCCUGUACAGUAAUAGUGCAAAACCACUGUUAAUGUCUGUUUAGUGCUUGACAGUUAUAAAGCACUUUCAAGAUCUUCAUUUUAGAGCUAUCCCAUUUUGCAGAUGAGGAUAGAGGUUUAUUCCUGAAGUUAAGCCAUCUGGCCAAGGUCACAAAGCUAAUAGCAAACAGCAGAGCCUGUAGUUUUGAAAUAAACCCUAUAGAGCUAGUAGUAGCAAAGCUCAUCCCAUUUAUUUUCACAGUGCUGAGUAUCAUUCUAAUCACUGUAAUAAUAGCUAACAUUUAUUGAACAUUUACUAUGAGUCCAGUAUGGUGCUACCUGUGUCAUAACUAACUCUUGUCAUGCUCAAAACUAUGUAAUGAGGUAAGUACUGUUUCCUUUUCCAUCUUACAAAUGGAGAACUUGAGACUAGAUUAAGUAAUUUCCCCAAGUUACACAGCAACUUAAUAGCAAUUCAAGGAUGCCUGAUAACACAGUCUGGAGUCCCAGGGAGGGAACCAGGCACCUGGGUUGCAUCCCUACUUGUGAAUAAAACCACUUCCCUAAG